RNAcentral lists this ribosomal RNA (253 nucleotides) under uncultured bacterium. RNAcentral describes it as "partial 16S ribosomal RNA". It matches the Rfam family "Bacterial small subunit ribosomal RNA", at positions 524 to 776 of the family's 1533-position model. The record is from RNAcentral.
GACGUAGGGGACGAGCGUUGUCCGGAUUCAUUGGGCGUAAAGCGCGCGUAGGCGGUUACGCAAGUCGGUUGUGAAAAUCCGGGGCUCAACCCCGGACCUGCAUCCGAUACUGCGUGACUAGAGGUAGGUAGGGGAGAUCGGAAUUCCUGGUGUAGCGGUGAAAUGCGUAGAUAUAUGGAGGAAUACCAGUGGCGAAGGCGGCCUCCUGGCUCGAUACUGACGCUGAGGUGCGAAAGCGUGGGGAUCAAACAGG